CCUCAGUGNAUUAUCAUCACUGAGAACGGUGUCUCUGAAAAUGGGCCAGUUGAUCUGAAUGACGUUCACAGGAAAUACUAUUAUGAACAGUACAUCAACCAAGUGCUGAAAGCUUAUUUGCUUGAUGAUGUGAAUGUCAUUGGCUACACUGCUUGGUCUCUGCUGGACAACCUGGAAUGGGCUGUUGGCUAUACAGAGAGAUUUGGACUUUUCUAUGUCAAUCGCACAGACCCUGAUCUGCCUCGAACMCCCAAAGCCUCUGUGUCCUAUUAUUCCUCCAUCAUCAGCUGCAACGGGUUUCCUGACCCAGCAACUGGACCUCAUGAGUGUUGGAACUCUAACCCUACAAUUGCUGACCCCUAAGCCUGAAGCAACAAAAGAGGCAAUUCCUGGAAUCAACAGUGUGAACUUCCUGGGUAUGAGCCUCUCCUUUGAAGAUGCCGUGACCAGACAUUUGCUUUGCUGAUUGUAGCACUUGCUGGAACAAUUUGUGUGGCUGUUGGAUUGUUUCUAGUAAAAAAUGUGUUCCAAAAGAAAAUUUAAUUGAGGGAGGAAGAGAGAUUCUGAUUGCAGCUUGACUUCCACAUUUAAUGCAGAUAUGUAUAAUUUCCAUAUUGAAAUUUAAAGGGCUGAAUUUUGCAAAAACACAAUCAUCAACAGAGAAUUUGGAGUUUUUGAACACUGUAUGUUAUAUUUGUUCUAUAUUUAAAAUAAUAUAAAUAUAAUUUAUCUUUGCAACCAAAGGUGCAGAGGAGAACUUAUUGCUUACUGGGAAGUUAAGAUGACUGGACCCAGUUUUUUCCAUUUGCACUAUUUGUGGUAUUUAAACUAUUUUUGUUCCUCUUUGUGGUUUUUUUGUGUGUGAAAAAAUGUUAAGCUAACUGAAAUAAAUUACUGGUGAAACCCAUGUCAACUGUGUGUAAAACUCUAGAUUAGUUCUGCCUAUUAUAUCGGUAGAAUGUUUUUGCAUAAUUUGUGUCUUGUGAAACUUUUUACCACCAUAUAAAAAGCACUGAUCAAGUCACUGUCAUACUAACUUAUUGUAACAUCAAGAACCAUUUAUCUAAUMUGUGUGAGACAAACUGGAAGAAAGCACAACAUAAAAACCAACUAAUAUCUGAUUUCUGCUACUUGUCCUAUGAAGCUUCUGUUCAAUAAACU
This is a non-coding RNA of Poecilia reticulata (guppy), 1161 nucleotides long. NCBI's taxonomy places the organism in Eukaryota, Metazoa, Chordata, Actinopteri, Cyprinodontiformes, Poeciliidae. The record is from RefSeq and is a predicted model, not a curated record.